This 612-nucleotide ribosomal RNA is filed under the name uncultured bacterium. RNAcentral describes it as "bacterial SSU rRNA". It matches the Rfam family "Bacterial small subunit ribosomal RNA", at positions 91 to 701 of the family's 1533-position model. The record is from RNAcentral.
GAGAGCGGCGUACGGGUGCGUAACACGUGUGCAACCUGGCCUUUAUCUGGGGGAUAGCCUUUCGAAAGGAAGAUUAAUACCCCAUAAUAUAUUGAUUGGCAUCAAUUAAUAUUGAAAGCUCCGGCGGAUAGAGAUGGGCACGCGUAAGAUUAGCUAGUUGGUGAGGUAACGGCUCACCAAGGCUGCGAUCUUUAGGGGGCCUGAGAGGGUGAUCCCCCACACUGGUACUGAGACACGGACCAGACUCCUACGGGAGGCAGCAGUGAGGAAUAUUGGACAAUGGGUGAAAGCCUGAUCCAGCCAUCCCGCGUGAAGGACUAAGGACCUAUGGUUUGUAAACUUCUUUUAUACAGGGAUAAACCUACUCUCGUGAGGGUAGCUGAAGGUACUGUAUGAAUAAGCACCGGCUAACUCCGUGCCAGCAGCCGCGGUAAUACGGAGGGUGCAAGCGUUAUCCGGAUUUAUUGGGUUUAAAGGGUCCGUAGGCGGGUCGAUAAGUCAGUGGUGAAAGCCUGCAGCUUAACUGUAGAACUGCCGUUGAUACUGUCGGUCUUGAGUGUAUUUGAGGUAGCUGGAAUGAGUAGUGUAGCGGUGAAAUGCAUAGAUAUUACU